RNAcentral lists this long non-coding RNA (443 nucleotides) under Citrus maxima (pomelo). RNAcentral's name for it is "long non-coding RNA (CMAX_LNC001689)". Lineage: Eukaryota; Viridiplantae; Streptophyta; Magnoliopsida; Sapindales; Rutaceae. The record is from RNAcentral.
AUUGGCCGGUGAAGAUUCUGUAUAUGAACUGAAACGGCAGCGUAGAAGCCACGUCCAUUGUGAACCAUAGCCUUGUAACAUAUCUGAGUAAAGUGGAGGGAGAAACAGAGGGUUAAAAAUAACUGAAAAUGCCCAUGCCCUUUAAGGCUUCAGUGAAAAUUCUACUAUCAUAAGCCACCUCGAUCAUUUCUCAUUUGGUGAACAUCUAUUUGGUACAAAUGGACAUUCUUUUCUGAGAAAAACAUAUAUGAAGAAAAUGUCAAAAAAUAAAAAAUAUCAAAAAAUAAAGAAAUCAAGUGUCCAGAUGCUAUGACUCAAAAAUAUAAUUGUUUUUGAUGUUUAGAUUUGUGGGGAGUUGAAAACUUUGAACUAUUGCUUGCGUAACGUGAAGAAAUAGGCCACACUAAAAGCAAACGGUUAUGUAAAAGACAUGGAUAAAGAAU